AUUCCUCUCCUUGUGGCCUUGUCUACACACAGACUCAGCCAAAAGUUGUUGUGCAGACAAGGCCUAAGCCUCUGGACUUGCCUUUUCUAUGUAUAUUGCCUGUGUGAAUCAAUGUUACUGGCUGGGGUUAGUUUUCAGUUGUACUUUUUAGUGCGUGAAAAAUCCAUUGCGUUGUCGCUAUUUGAAAUCAGUAGAUAUAAACGGAAAAUCCAGGUGACUUUUACAUAACCUAGUGUCUUACAUAAAUCAAAACACAAGGUCAUGAAGUUGAACACUUGUGAAGUUAUAGUGCAGAAUAACAGAGCAAAGCACAAAAACAAUAGCUCCAACCUCCUGCUUACAUACAGGGCUAUUAAUAAUUAAGCAAACAUAGGAAGCAGACAAAUAAUGUAUCUAUACCAGAGCUUUUUCCAUCAAAUUACAAUGGUAGGAAUAUUAAUGUUGCCUGAGUGCUGGCUUUAUAACCAUCAUAUCAUCUAACCCUGCUCAGGAUACAUCUAGAGUAGGAAUCCUCAACCUGUGGGGUCACAAACAAGUGUAAGGAGGUCAAAGAGUUUAAGGCCAGAAGGGCCCACCAAUUCAUCUGGUCUGACCUCCUAUAUAUUGUGAUCAACUUGUCCUUCCCAUGUUGCUCAAUGGUAGGAGAGUCCUGGCUAGAUCCUGGUAUUAGGGGUGAUGACUGUGACAGAUAUUACAACCCCCUGCAAUGUCUUUGGGUACCAUAUUGUAUUAAGUGUAUGAAUGACUUAUGUGUCCCUGUGGGCCAUGGACUGUAUGUAACUCCAGGAGGAGGGACGUUACCACAGUUCCUCCAGGAACCCAAAACAGUGGGGGGUGAUUAAGUUGAAUCACUUAGCGUGUCCAGAGAGGUACCAUCCCUGGGGUAGUUUGCAUAUAUUGGUUCAAACUGGGUUUUCCAGAAACCAACACACAAAGAAAGGGCUUUUGAUAAUAAAAGGUUGCAUUUAAACUGACUCCGGGCCUUCUUUCUUGAGCCUUCAGAUGGACAGGACCUUCUAUCCAUGGGGUGCCCCAACCCAUGCGGAAGGGUUGGAAAGAGUGCAGCACACUAGAAACCCAUAAGAUGGAUGGUGACCUCUGGGUGUCUCUGUGGAUAAACGCUGUGCUGACAAGACUGGAGUCCUGCAAAGCUUGAAGGCAGGAAAUGAAAUAGGAUGCACAAUCCCGGAAGCCUGAAGUGUCCCUCAGGGGAGGCUUUCCCUAGAUGAGCCAGGAAGUAAAAUAUUGAUCAAGUCUUGCCAAGAAAAAUCUUUCUCCAGAAAAUCCUCUUGGGCUUUGAGUCCUGGUGGAAUGUGUUCUCGUUCCCCCUCUCUCUCUUUCUUCCCUUCCUCUUUCCCAAAUUCUUUUUAAAGAGGAUUGUUCCAGCCCAGCUAAUUCGGGAGUAUCACACUAACUGGUAUUAUUUAUGGAUUCUUGUAAGGUAUAGAGGACAGGGAUUGUCUGUCUGCAUGUGUACCUUAUUUAGCAGUCUGGGCCCUGAUACUGAAUGGGGCCUUUAGCUGCUACUGUAAUAUAAACAUUGAUGAGCCUCAACUAAAGUUGGCCCUACCAGGUGAGGAGGGGCCUGGUGUGGUGUGGGGCAAGCCAAGUCUCCUUACCUUUCAUUGUUGUAAUGCUGUCUAGCGUACCCAAAUGGCCUCCAUUGCCAUAGGUUCUGAGCACCUCACAAACACCCCUGUGAAGUAGGGCAGUACUAUUAAACCCAUCCUACAGAUGAGGAACUGAGGCACGGCGAGACUGACUUGCCCAAAGUCAUAGAGCAAGUCUACCUUGGAGGAGGCAAAAGCAGAACUGAGAGAUCCUGAAUCCCAGUCUAGAGCCUUAAGCACAAAGUCAUUCAGCAGCAUUUACUGCUACUGUCCAGGGCAGUCGGUCCACUUUCACCCAGAUGAAAUUCACAGAGCUAUAAACCCCCCAGCCCUUUCUCUGCAAUAUCUCACAUGCAUUUUUAAUACCAUAACAUGCAUAAGGAUCAAAAAUGCUUUCCAUUUAAUCUCUGAGGAUAAGCAAGAAGGAUUCAACGUGCCAAAACCUAUAGGGCUUUCUGUCUUCCUUAUAGGCUCCAAAAUAACCUCUAAGCACCUUUCAAGUGAUUAGCCCCAACUGAAGGAUGGGAUGUUAGCAGGCACAAGAGUCUUGCUAUCUAGACUUGCUAAGUCUUUCAUAGCAAAACCUUUUAUCCUGCUCUCAAGAGCUGAUUUUGACUCCAAUAUUCUAUGACCAGGGUAAAAGCUUCCCUAGAGCGUAAAUAUGGGCUGUCCCCAAAUAUGAGCUUCCAGGUGCCAGAAAAAUUCUCUUAAAGGGUGAGGGGUUUUUUGCAAGUCAGUAACUUUUGCACAUCAAGUCAAUGACCUGUGCAGAUGUGUAAAAUAGGCACACAAAUCGAAAGCCUCAUUGUCCAAAUAGACUCUGGGAGCAGGAAAGCUCCAUGCCCAAUGAUACAGUAUUUGGGGGCUCGAUAGUACUGAGCCAUUUUUAAGAGGGUGUUUUUUAUAUCUUCCAUACAUGCCUUAUUUUUGUUCUAACAUUUUAUUAUAAUGUCUUGCUAUUGACAGUGAAGUGCUCUGAGAGUUAAUGUAAAACAGUCUUACAUUUUGUGUGUUUUGGGUUAUUUGUUUAAGCUUCUAUUAGGCUUGUCAUGUGAGUCAUCAGACAAAAAUGUGAAAAGGGAAAAAAAAUUGUCUACAUGUUCAUACUGGGCGGUGAAAACAAGAUUCAUGAAUACCUCACAUAGGGGAUUGUUCUUUGUUUUCAAGGGAAACUGAAUCCCCUGGUCAAGGAAGACUUUAGUGUGAUAACUGAAACUAAUUUAUUAUAGCUCUUUAUCAAGACAUUAGUUUUGUGUUUCCCACUGAUCUCCAGGCUCCUUUAUAUUCUUGUUUAAAGCUCUGAAAUUAUCUAGCCCAUUUGGUGACUUCUAGAUGUAAUGCUCUGGAUACAUCAACUCCCAGUUACUAAUCAGGACUUUAGAGUAACCAAACGGGAGCCUAGAUCCUAGACAAUAUAAGCCAGGUUUUUUCACUUAGUGCAGUGAAUGCUGGGAUGGGACUUUAGAAUUUUAGUCAGUAUAGUCAGGCUACUCAAGCAGUGCAGAUGUGACCAAUAAAUCCCAUAGCUGUGUAAUUCACUGUUAAGGAAUGCUUUGCUUUAAGAAACUCUCAGUUACUGGGAACGCAACUUCUGAACUGGAGCCUUUAGCUGUGGUGCCCUUGAAUUGUGUUGCUCAAGAAACACAGUUACUAUCUCCAUUUUUGAAGAGCAAGUGACAGGCAUAGUGUGUUUGUGUUUUCUGUGGUGUCUCCCAUUCAGUUCUGCUGUGGGACCUAUUACAUGACCAGGGUUGUAUAAAAUAUAGCAAAAGCAAAUAUAUAAAAGGAGAUUAUCUUGUACUGUAUCAGUCAAACAGCUCUGCCUCCUGCUGCGACUGAGGGAAGAAGAGAAGCAUCGUGUUUCAAUAAUUUAGAAGUAGGUGUUCUGGAACUUCAGUGAUGAUCCCACUAGUUUCUGGUGAGGCCAAUACUUAGUAAUGGACAGCGAAAAGCUCCUCUGCAUGUAAUUCAAGUGUCUACCAUUCCCAACCAGAGAAAGGAUAGAGAUCUGCUGCAGAACUUGCAUCCCUCCAACCCACCUGCUUAUAGGAUUAUCUUCAGUGGAGUCAGGUGGGUGACAGGAGGAAAUCAAAUGAACAGAAAACCUUUUUUUUUUUUU
This is a non-coding RNA of Caretta caretta (loggerhead turtle), 3729 nucleotides long. NCBI's taxonomy places the organism in Eukaryota, Metazoa, Chordata, Testudines, Cheloniidae. The record is from RefSeq and is a predicted model, not a curated record.